This 447-nucleotide ribosomal RNA is filed under the name uncultured bacterium. RNAcentral's name for it is "bacterial SSU rRNA". It matches the Rfam family "Bacterial small subunit ribosomal RNA", at positions 355 to 825 of the family's 1533-position model. The record is from RNAcentral.
UCGGGAAUUUUGGGCAAUGGGGGAAACCCUGACCCAGCAACGCCGCGUGAAGGAUGAAGUAUUUCGGUAUGUAAACUUCGAAAGAAUAGGAAGAAUAAAUGACGGUACUAUUUAUAAGGUCCGGCUAACUACGUGCCAGCAGCCGCGGUAAUACGAAGGGAGCUAGCGUUGUUCGGAAUCACUGGGCGUAAAGCGCACGUAGGCGGAUAGUUAAGUCAGGGGUGAAAUCCUGGGGCUCAACCCCAGAACUGCCUUUGAUACUGGCUGUCUCGAGGUCGAGAGAGGUUGGUGGAAUUCCUAGUGUAGAGGUGAAAUUCGUAGAUAUUAGGAAGAACACCAGUGGCGAAGGCGGCCAACUGGCUCGAUACUGACGCUGAGGUGCGAAAGCGUGGGGAGCAAACAGGAUUAGAUACCCAAGUAGUCCCUGAGCGGGCUGGCAAGGCGCAU